UUAAAUUGAAGAGUUUGAUCAUGGCUCAGAUUGAACGCUGGCGGCAGGCCUAACACAUGCAAGUCGAACGGUAACAGGAAGCAGCUUGCUGCUUCGCUGACGAGUGGCGGACGGGUGAGUAAUGUCUGGGAAACUGCCUGAUGGAGGGGGAUAACUACUGGAAACGGUAGCUAAUACCGCAUAAUGUCGCAAGACCAAAGAGGGGGACCUUCGGGCCUCUUGCCAUCGGAUGUGCCCAGAUGGGAUUAGCUUGUUGGUGGGGUAACGGCUCACCAAGGCGACGAUCCCUAGCUGGUCUGAGAGGAUGACCAGCCACACUGGAACUGAGACACGGUCCAGACUCCUACGGGAGGCAGCAGUGGGGAAUAUUGCAC
RNAcentral lists this ribosomal RNA (374 nucleotides) under Shigella sonnei. RNAcentral's name for it is "bacterial SSU rRNA". It matches the Rfam family "Bacterial small subunit ribosomal RNA", at positions 1 to 369 of the family's 1533-position model. Lineage: Bacteria; Pseudomonadati; Pseudomonadota; Gammaproteobacteria; Enterobacterales; Enterobacteriaceae. The record is from RNAcentral.